AUCGCGUAGCAUUAUUUAGGUUUGUAAUAUUUCCGUCGAUAUGCAUUCAUGUGCAUAAUGCAUUUCAUUCAGGAACGUUAAUUAAUCGCGUGAUGCGGAGAAAAAGACGACCCAAGUCGACCCCAAGCGCGGGCUAACCCGCAGGAUGAUGUUGAUGGACAGAACCGAAGAGGGAUAAUCUGGCGAAUGUCAAGACAGAAGAUGAUCGCCAAGUGGUCGCCUAACAAACACUAACCUAGUGUUACUCAGGCAAGCCCCGGUGCAUGCAACCCCUUCCUUGUGUUUUUAAAUUAUUUUUGCACACUUUAAGUCUAGUGAAAUGUGCAUUAGGUUUAUAGAAGUUGCUUGGAAACCCUUCGAUGCAUUGCCUACCUUGAAAUCCAUCCCUUUUAUAGAUACUUCUGGUGAAGUAUCAAAAUAUGAUUUACAAAAAAAUGCUUAGCCCUGCUUAUAGGCAGAUAGAGUUUGUCCUUUGCACUUAUGCCUAGCUCAGGUUGAUCCUGAGGAAGGAUGACCUCUACCUGCACGGAUAUUUUCAUUGGGAGCAUGGUGGGAUCUUACUGUAAAGUUCCCUAUAAUGCUCUUUUCAUCCUAAGGAAUACAAACAAUCCUAAGGGUGGAAGUACUUAAAUCGGGACUUGGGCUAGGAACAGGUGAUGCUCCGCCCGGGUCAAUUAAGGAUUGGAUGCGUAUGUAGGCCUGAUAGAUCAAGGACUAUCUUAACUGGCCACAUGCCCUGGAAAUGGGACAGGGUAAGCUUGAACCCGGCUAUUCCAUACGUGAAAAGACAACCGCGCACUAGGCGUGGGAGAUGGUGGGAGUAGCGUGUGCCCUCCUGGCUAGAGGCUGGAUGGAGGAGUACUGUGCUCCCGGGUAGCGCGGACCGGUUCACGUUGUGGAGGAUCUGUAGGAAUGGUUGACAUAUGCAAGGGUUAAGUGCUACAUAUGUCGUGUGGUUAGAGAUCCUCAGCUGAGUAAAUCGAUUCGGAUCGCCGUUAUAUCCCCGGAGAGUGGAGACUUGAUCACUGACCUGCAACCUAAGUCAGGAUGUGAACCUCAUGAAUAAAAAUGAUGUUGUAUUGAUGAGAUGGUGAAAUUAGACCAGAUGCAAAUAGAGUCUAUUAAUAUUUAAUCUGGCGUUAAAAUAUUGAAAGUAAGGACUCACUUUAGUAAGCUAUUUCUGCAAAAGUAUCUAAGUUGAUUCUUGCUAAAGCCUCUCCUUGAUUCCCAAAUCCAGCAUACCCUUGAGAGUCUUUUCUUUAGUCGUGUAAGUCUUGCUGAGUAAUUCCAUACUCAGGGUUUUAUUCCCUGUUGUUUUUCAGGUUCUAGCUUUGUGCUGCUUUUGAUGGUGUUAAGUGCCGGUGGGCUCGGCCUUCUUAUAUAAGUAUAACCCGUCUUUAUCUUCUUACUGAGGAUGGUCAUUUGAGCUAGCAUAUAUUUCAAACUUAUACUUUUGUAAUCACUCCGAUAAAAUAAUAUAAAAUUUUUGUAACUUGUAAAAUUUGGUAAUAAGAUUUCCGCUGCAAAAAUAUUGGUGUGUGUGAUUUGUGUUACUUAAUCUCGCGGUUCUGGUUGUAAGUGGUUUAUCCGGUGUCCUUGGGGCAAUCGGACGGAUCCUGUUAAGUUAUCUGGUGCACAUGCAUGGCCGUCUGAGGCCUUUGAGACAAGGACAGGUGCAUGUGGGCCCGAUAACUUGGAGGUUCUGCCACAAUUUUAUCCUCUAAACUUUGAUAAUAGUUUCGUUUUUUCUAUCCUCAUUGUCUUGUUGUAUUUUUAAAGCUUUGCUCAGUAACAAGCUCUACAAAAAUGAACUCGAAAUUAAAAUACUUAAGCUAAUACGAACACAUCAGUGGUAACUUGUAGAAGGGUUCUUACUUUGAAGUUAGAAUAAAGCAGGCUGCCUAUGAUGUGAUGACGCAUGUAACAAUUGAUAUCCUUCUCAAGCUUUGGGAAUCCGACACUCUUCGACAGGGUGCCUAUAAUUUUUGCACCAGCACGAUCGCGGAUGCAUCCCAGGAUUUCUUCGUCGACCCCUCCAAAGAGUACCGACCCAGGCUAGUAACCACAUGAGAUCGCAAAUUCCCUUAACUCUGAUUUGUCCUCUUCAGAGAGUUGUUGGCCGCCCAAGUGUCGUAGGUCGAAAUUCACUCCCUCUGAAGAGGUUUCAUCAAUCUCUUUUCCCUUGUCUGAAAUGGUUGCGACCACCUCCUUCUCCAUAGCCACAUCUGAUAUCAGAUUAUCAAUCUCGGACAAAGUGGUUGCAAGUUUUUCACCUUCGGCUGUAGCAGUGGCUUCGGCAUCGGUUGGUUUGGCAGCUUUGCUUGCCGAAGCUGAAGGGGGGGUUUGUUCAAUCACUUGUAUAUGUUCACAAUGCGUCGUUUCUUCUGGCCCCUGUCUCUUCCUUCUGUAGCUGAAGAUACCUCCUUUUCCUGUAAGAUGUUGGUUAGUUCCAAUCCUAGAGGACUUAGUGGUGUGAAUGGGAAUGACUCGGUCAUUACCUUCAAUAUUUUUGAGACCUCAGCAGCAGAAGACGAAGGGCUUGCAAUUGGUUUCAGCACAUCUUGUGUCUUCGUCUUCUCUAAUGAUUCCACAGCAAGCUUCCAUUUCUUAGGAGUCAGUUCCUUCGGCUCCGUCGCUGUUUUCAUCUUCUUCAAAGCCUCUUGGUCUUCCUUCACAGACCAGGUAGCUUGUGAUAGUAGACGCGGCCCGAUCUUCCGUGAGAUACGAUAACUUGAUUGAGUGGAGAUCUCGACGUUGAUGAUCCAAGGCUCCGAACGAAUGGUUCCUCGCAAUCACUACACCACGGCUCCGUUGGUUAUCACCCGUGACACACGAAUGACCUCGCCACGAAGGCUUAUCCCUGCAAGCGCAAUCAAUAACACAAGCAAGAACAGGAAAGAAACACAACCAAAAUUGUAUUGAUUACGGGAUGGGGUCUCACAAGCCGAUGACGGCGACACUGUUCAAUGACAGAAUUGAUCUAAGCAAAACCCAAACCUAAAUGUGGCGGUGGCUGCUGAAUAAAUAGAGUAUUAGGGCGUGCGUGACCCCUGGACUCGCCCCUAAUGGGCUCCGACGCGAUACACGGCCCAACGGCCCAACAGACGGUGUCGCAGCACCAAAACAGAAUUUGAACGCUAACUUGUUUCGACGAUUCCCGUUGACUCCGGACGAAUUUUAGGGUGAAACCAGUUGGGUUGGUUAGAUAAUCUCGUUAUCUUUCCAACCAUAUCCAGUAUGUUGCAAUUGGAGUCCGGAUGCAUCUUGGGCGUCCAUUUUAGUGCAGACUGGUCCUGGAACCCAAGAUGGAGUCGUAGCCGAUUCGGACUUGAUCUCCUUCCUGUUGUGGACGCCCUUGCUGCUCCUCCUCAACACCUUGGCCUUUCCCAAGUCCUUGCUGGUCCUCUCCAAGGUACCUAAUCAUCAAAACAUCCAUGGUCCCAAGCGUAAGCUCUGAAACACAAUUGACUAGGGUAGAACAUACCUGGAAAUUUAGCUGUCGUGCAUGAGAUCGUGUUAUCGGUCCAUUCAUUGUAUGUAUAGAAGUGAUGUCCUCAUCCUCCUUCUCCUCUUGAAUUGGAGUCGUCCUCGACUCGAUCUCACCUUCGCCACCCAUAUAUGGCUUCAAAUCUGAAAUGUUAAAGGUGGAACUAACCCAAAAAUCUGGAGGUAACUCAGGUGGUAAUCCAGGGGGUAUCUCAGAGGGAAACACAUCCAUAUACUCUUGCAAAAGGUUAGCAAUAGCCGGUGGCAAAGCAAUAGAUGUAUCAUCAAUGGAAUAAAAACAUUUUUGCACACUAAGGCACAGCAAAGUCCAACAGAGGCAUGUAACUCAUCAAGAUCAGAUUUAAUGGCUAGCAAAGUAGGAGUUUUUAACUUAAUAGGUUGCUGAUUUUUAGAGUUCAAAACACCUUUUUGCUUAGCAUUAAUCUUUUUCUCAUGUUCUAAGUGGACCAUUUCAGUGGGAGUCAUAGGAAGCAACACAAUUUUCUUUCCCUUAUGCAUAAAAGUAUAUUUAUUAGAUCUACCAUGGUGAAUAGCAUCAGUAUCAAACUCCCAAGGACGUCCCAGUAAAAGAGAGCAAGCAUCCAUAGUCACCACAUCGAAAUCAGCAAAGUCAUGGUAAGAGCCAAUAGAAAAAUGCACCCUUGUUGUUUUUGUUACCUUGAACUUACCGCUGUUGUUAAACCAUUGAAUGUGAUAAGGGUGUGGAUGCUCUCGUGUGGUCAAGCCAAGCUUCUUGACCACCUCAACGUUCACCAAGUUGUUGCAGCUACCACCAUCAAUGAUGGUAUGUACACGACAGUCCUUGACGAUGAGGAACAUGUUGAAAAGGUUGUGGCGCUGUCUGUUAUCGUCGUCACUAGUCGUGGUACUCAAAGCUCGUUGCACAAUCAAGGCCUUAUAGGUCUCGGUCGCUAUUGUACCAAGAACCUCUUCAUCACCAUCAUAAGUCUCUGCAAUGUUAGCUCCAACAGUAUCUUCAUCUUCAACAUCAGAAGCACUAACAUACCCACCAUCACCAGUAGCAAUGUAUGCCCGUUUGCUGGGGCAAUCUCGUUGAAUAUGACCAAGUCCCUGGCAGCGGUGGCACUUGAUGUCGGAGGAGCGGCCUGUGGAAGAGGUGGUCGUAGCAGGUUUUGUUGCAACACCCGAAGGCACCAAGGACUUGCUGUUGUCGUGUCCCUGUGAUGCCGAAGGUGCGGUGCUGCGUGUGCCGUUGGUGGAGGAAGAUGUGGACGUCUGUACGCCCGAAGAGGAUGACACCUUGGCUGGCAACGGUGGCUGGUGUGGCACGAAAGUGCUGCUCCUCCGCUGUUGACGACCCUGCAAUUCUUUUUCUGCCAACAUAGAAAGAUGGAACAAGCGUUGUAUAGAAUGGUAUUCUUUAUAAUCAACAAUAUCCUGAAUCUCCCGCCUCAAUCCCCCAUAAAACCUAACCAUUUGAUCCUCCGGAUCCUCAACUACCCCACAUCGUAGCAUACCUUUCUGAAGCUCUUGGUAGUAUUCUUGUACCGACAUGUCUCCCUGAUCUAAGCGUUGCAAUUUUUUUCGAAGAUCACGUCUAUAAGAAGGGGGAACAAAGCGAGCUCGCAUCUCCUCUUUUAACGCAUUCCAUGUUUGUGGUGCAGCACGUGUGCUAACAAGUUCAUUCCACCAAAUGAUAGCAAAAUCUCUAAAUUCACUAGUGGCUUGUCUAACCCUAUGCUGCUCAGGAACAAGAUGGGAAUUAAAUUUUUGUUCUACCGUCAUCUCCCAGUCUAAGUAAGCUUCAGCAUCAUAAGAACCCAUGAACGGUGGAAUAGAAAACUUAAUCUUAGCAAAUGGAUCAUGAUCUGGUUCAGGAUUAUGAUGACGACGUCUACCAUUACCUCCCAUACCUUGUCGAUUACGUGCGAGGCGUUGUGGCAGCGGUGCAUACACAUCAUCGUCAUCCACAAGAGAGUGAGCUGGGGCUGGAGUUGGUGGUGGGGGACGAGCCUCCAGUACGUCCAUGAGUGUAACAAGUUCAUCAACUCGUCGAUCAAGCUGCUCAUAGGAUGUCGAGGCAGAGUCCUGGUAUUUUUUAAAAGCUUCAGUCAUCGCGCGCAUCAUCUCCUUCAAUUCCAUUUGAGAGAUACACUCAUCGUCGUUAAGUUUAGGCCCCUUGUCCUUGUCCAUUUGAUUCUUUGGUCCUGUCAUUGUUAGCACAAAGCAAAGAUAAAAAAAGGCAACAAACAAUGUGAACCCUACAACUAUCUCUCAGGGCGGUGGUGGACUACAAAUUAUGAAGCGUCUUACCCCGCUCUUACAAUGUUCUUGCCAGCACUGUAGGUGGCAAACGGUGACCGGUGUGACUGUCCAACGAGCGUGGGUGUGAUUGCAAAGGAGUACCUGUUCUGCUCCAGAGAAAAUUGGAGCUAUGGGAAGGCUGACUAAUUAUAUAUAUGUGGCACACAAGUCAGUAACAGAUAGCAAUGCUGAAUAAGUGUUCCAAGUACUCGUCCUAGUUGCUGGCCUAGAAAAUGUAAUAGAACAGUUGGACCAAGGCACAAGAAAGGAGGUACAAGUAUCUAGGUGCAGCAAGAAAAUAAGCUUGGGGCAAAAUAAUCACAGAGGUGCACAGAACACUGGCGUUUCUGUUUAUGUGCUACUCUUUUCUUUUUUUCUCUCUAUUUUUUUUGCGAUUUUUUUUCAAAUAUUUUUUUUAUAUUUUUCUCUUUUGCAGCAGCACAUAAGAAGAAAACACACCAAGUUUUAGAUUUUUUUGUGCAAUGACGCGUCCUCUGUAAUUUCUACAAGUUUGCCCUAAAAUCAAAAUAAAUGUUUGGAAAACGAGAAGUCCUAUUUCCAAGCCGAAUUUAGGAAUUUUAAAAACAGCGAAUCCGACAAAACGGGAAAGAAUCGGAUACAAAAUUUAAUUCUGUGUGAUUUGAAAAAAAAUGGGCCCGAUUCGAGUUCCGAGGCGAAAGUUACGGCUGUUUUAAGUUUGGACUCCGAAUCAGGAUUUCUGGCGAGGUGUUGGAAGAGUGGGAGUUCGGUUUUGUGGAUAGGGUCGGUUUUAGAGAUAUGAUCUAUUUUAUGGAUAGGGUCGGUUGUAGAGAUAUGAUCUAUUUUGUGGAUAGGGUCGGUUUUAGAGAUAGGAUUUGUUUUGUGGAUAUGGUCAAUUUUAGAGAUAAGAUCUGUUUUGUGGAUAGGGUCGGUUUUAGAGAUAGGAUCUGUUUUGUGGAUAGGGUCGUUUUUAGAGAUAGGAUUUGUUUUGUAGAUAGGGUCGGUUUUGUAGGAUGGAAGCGGAUGGAUAGAAUUAAACUGAACCCAAACAAAUCUAAUCUAGCAACCAUACUCAACUAGAACACGAACUCAAAAAUGCGAACUCUAAAACUGAAUUGUGCAAAGGCUAAGGCGAUGGUUUUAGGUCGGAAUAAACUGAUCGUAUUUUUUGGCUUUUUGUGGAAUAUGGGACGAAACAAAACUAAUCUAAAGGUAGAAUUAUACCUCACGGGCAACCUGGAAAUUUGAUACCAAUUGAUAGUAGACGCGGCCCGAUCUUCCGUGAGAUACGAUAACUUGAUUGAGUGGAGAUCUCGACGUUGAUAAUCCAAGGCUCCGAACGAACGGUUCCUCACAAUCACUACACCACGGCUCCGUUGGUUAUCACCCGUGACACACGAAUGACCUCGCCACGAAGGCUUAUCCCUGCAAGCGCAAUCAAUAACACAAGCAAGAACAGGAAAGAAACGCAACCAAAAUUGUAUUGACUACGGGAUGGGGUCUCACAAGCCGAUGACGGCGACACUGUUCGAUGACAGAAUUGAUCUAAGAAAAACCUAAACCUAAAUGUGGCGGCGGCUGCUGAAUAAAUAGAGUAUUAGGGCGUGUGUGACCCCUGGACUCGCCCCUAAUGGGCUCUGACGCGAUACACGGCCCAACGGCCCAACAGACGGUGUCGCAGCACCAAAACAGAAUUUGAACGCUGACUUGUUUCGACGAUUCCCGUUGACUCCAGAUUAAUUUUAGGGUGGAACCAGCUGGGUUGGUUAGAUAAUCUCGUUAUCUUUCCAACCAUAUCUAGUCCGUCGCAAUCGGAGUCCGGAUGCAUCUUGGGCGUCCAUUUUAGUGCAGACUGGUCCUGGAACCCGAGAUGGAGUCGCAGCCGAUUCGGACUUGAUCUCCUUCCUGUUGUGGACGCCCUUGCUGCUCCUCCUCAACACCUUAGCCUUUCCCAAGUCCUUGCUAGUCCUCUCCAAGGUACCUAAUCAUCAAAACAUCCAUGGUCCCAAGCGUAAGCUCUGAAACACAAUUGACUAGGGUAGAACGUACCUGGAGAUUUAGCUGUCGUGCACGAGAUCGUGUUAUCGGUCCAUUCAUUGUAUGUAUAGAAGUGAUGUCCUCAUCAGCUUGCCUGCUCAAAAUGCUGACAACUCUUUUUCUAUUUGCUCCCCCGGCCCCAUCAUCAAGUCUGUCAUAAUCUGGGUACUCAAAAUUUAGGGCGUCCAUCACCCGAUUCAACCUUCGUUUCAGCCGGGUGCCGAAGGCAGCAGUCAUUAACUGAUCUUCUUUCUUCGUGUAAUUUCCAAGGAUUUCAUUACACAUGGUUUCUAUCAUUUCUAGCCAUUCAGUACAUGGUUUUUUGAAUUGCUUUUCAAACUUGAAACGGAAGGGGAGUCAAACAAGUUCAUAUUUUUCCCUCCUUCCUUCUUCUUCGGCAUCCCCCAACCGCUAGAGGUUGAAAAAAGUUUUCUUCGCCAGAUAUUCCUGCAUUAAGUCCCUAGUGCUAAUUUGAGCAGCCACCACUCUGAAUUCAUGCAUCCCAUGAUUUCUUCGUCGACCCCGCCAAAGAGUACCGACCCAUGCUGGUAACCACACGAGAUCACAAAUUCCCUUAACUCUGAUUUGUCCUCUUCAGAGAGUUGUUGGCUGCCCAGGUGUCGUAGGUCGAAAUUCACUCCCUCUGAAAAGGUUUCAUCAAUCUCUUUUCCCUUGUCUGAAAUGGUUGCGACCACCUCCUUCUCCACAGCCACAUUUGAUAUUAGCUUAUCGAUCUCGAACAGAGUGGUUGCAAGUUUUUCACCUUCGGCUGUAGCAGUGGCUUCGACAUCAGUCGGUUUGGCAGCUUUGUUUGCCGAAGCUGAAUGGGGGGUUUGUUCAAUCGCUUGUAAUAUGUUCACAAUGCUUUGUUUCUUCUGGCCCCCGUCUCUUCCUUCUGUAGCCGAAGAUACCUCCUUUUUCUGUAAGAGGCUGGUCAGUUCCAAUCCCAUAUGACCUUAGUCAUUACCUUCAAUAUUUCUGAGACCUCAGCAGCAGAAGACGAAGGGCUUGCAAUUGGUUUCAGCACAUCUUGUGUCUUCGUCUUCUCUAAGGAUUCCGUAGCAAGCUUCCGUUUCUUAGGAGUUAGUGCCUUCGGCUCCGUUGUUGUUUUCAUCUUCUUCAAAGCCUCUUGGUCUUCCUUCACAGACCGAGCAGCUUGCCUGCUCAAAAUGCUGACAACUAUUUUUCUUUUUGCUCCACCGGCACCUUCGUAAAGUCUGUCAUAAUCUGGGUACUCCAAAUUCAGGGCGUCCAUCACCCGAUUCAACCUUCGUUUCGGCCGGGUGCCGAAGGCAGCAGUCAUUAACUGAUCUUCUUUCUUUGUGUAAUUUCCAAGGAUUUUAUUACACAUGGUUUCUAUCAUUUCUAACCAUUUGGUAUAUGGUUUUUUGAAUUGCUUUUCAAACUUGAAACGGAAGGGGAUUCGAACAAGUUCAUAUUUUUCCCUCCUUCCUUCUUCUUCGGCAUCCCCCAACCGCUAGAGGUUGGAAAAGUUUUGUUCGCCAGAUAUUCCUGUACUAAGUCCCUAGUGCUAAUUUGAGCAGCCACCACUUUGAAUUCAACUUCGGCCAGCUGGCAUGGGGAGCUGAGUUGCAUGUUGCACAACGGCCUCGUCAUGCCGAAGCUUAAUCUCAGAGGACUCAUUACCAUAGUCAUGAGUUUUUCUCUCUUCUUCUCAUCAGCCUUCACAUAGAACCAUUCGCUAGUCCACCCGGUCGGCGACUUAGUGCGGUAGCCAAUCACCGGGGCCUUAGUGUCCUUCCGGUAUGCAAAAUUAUAACAUCCAAAGUUUUUGUGAAGACCAUCGGAUCUAGCCUUCGUCUGAUAAUGCAACUCAUACACUCGGCAGUACCCUUCGGCAUUGGCACUUUUACCCUGGCUUCGGAGAGCCCAUUUGUAGACAUUGAUCCUGACAAUGGCAUUCGGUGUCAGCUAAUGGAGAUAUAUUUCAAAUCUUUUCAAAACUUCCACUACACGACGGUUGAUUUACAGUGACCUACGGUUGGUUGCUAAAAGCGCCUUCAGCGACCUACGGUUGGUCGCUGAAGACUUUUAGCGACCCAUAAGGAUGGUCGCUGUAAGUGCUAUCGCUAAAGGCUUUAGCGACUAACAUAUUUUUAACAAUCGACCGUAAGUUGCUGAUGUUAUACUUUUAGCGACCAAUUGUUGGUUGUUGUAUUAAUGUUAGCAACCAACUGUUAGUCAUCAUUAUAUAUAUUUAACAACCAACUGAAAGUCGCUCUGUUUAUAGUUGUUAUUAAUAAUAAUAUACAUAUAAUUAUAUAUACAAAAGAACCACAAACCAUAGAUUUUUAUACACAUAAUCACAAAGACAUACACAGUUGAUCAGUAUACCACAAUCAUAAAUCCAUCACAUAAACAUAAGCACCACAAUUAGAUAUAUUCACAAAAGCACCACAAUUAUAAUAUCAUUUACAAAAGCUCCAGAGUUGAUCUGUCACAAAAGCACCACAACGACAUCACUCUAGCUUCAAGCAGUUCAAAAGCCCACAACUACACUAAUGCUUGACAUCACUACAUCUAUAGUUCAAAAGGCCACAACUACAUCACUCCAUAGCUGAUCAGUCACAAAAGCACCACAACUACACUAAUGCUUCAAGCAGUUCAAAAGCCUUCACACAACCACUACAACUUAUUGUAUCCUCCUGUUUUAAGGAACAAGCUUUCUUUGUCCAGAAUGCCCUAUAAAAAGUACAACAAAUUAGUAUAUUGGUGCUACAUUUGCAAAUAAAAAUACAAUUUUGCUGCCUUAUCUACCUCCACUAGACGGUGUUGUUGCCUUUUCUACCAACUUCGGUUGAUGCAAUCAAGGAUAGUUGAUUAGUGAAUUAUACUCAUAUAAAUCUAAACAUAAACAAGAUAAGAUAUAGACUAUUACUUUCCACAUGGCACAAGGACAAGGCAAAAUUGUAUCUCGUUUCAGCACACAAGUUAUAAUAACUUCACAAUAUUGCCUUCCAAGGGUCAAACUUCAAGAUGGCAUAAGUUCCAAAUGUCAAAUAUUAAAGCUAAGGAUCAUCCAAUCAUUUGUGACCUAACAUUACCAGUCAAUGUACUACAUCAUCCUAACAAGACCAGAAGGCACACUUCGUGCCCCUACAAUGAUAAUGGCUAUGAUAAGUCAUAUCAAAUGAGAAUUAUCACAAAAUUAGUAAGCCAUAAUUUCACAGCAUAACACCAUAAUUUGUUUUGCCUAGGGCUGCCAUUCCUCCUCUCUAAUCCCCCUCUACUUCCCCCAAUUCUACCCUCUAAUUAAGGGGAAGUCACGCCUCCCCCAAUCGGAUGUGACACUAAUUCUGAAUAAUUAAGGCCCUAAGCACUGCUUUCACCUUAAAAGCAUCAUCUCACAAGUAGAUAAUAGUUCUGGAUGCUCGUGCUCUUUGGAAGGUCAUGAGCCUUUGUAGCAUGUACAAACUCCAUUACUCCAUAUAAGGUCUUAUUUGAAACACCAAUAUAGUGAAUUAUGAUAUUCUCGAUUUUCUUUUGUAUGAGCUAAUAGAACUGAGACAAAAACAUAGAACUACUAAAUGUGCCUCUAUUUACAGAACAAUUGCAUAUGUUGAAUAGCUAUCAUUUGUCUGAAAAAUACUUACAUGACUAAAUUCACCAAAUAGUGCCACAUACCUAUUUAGCCUGGAGACAUAAAGAAAAACUUUGGAAUGGAGGAUGUUAAAAUAGUAUGGCUCAAUUAAUUUAGUGUUAAGACAUAGUAUGUCUGCAAAUACAUAUAUUACCCAUUACAAAGCUAACCCAAGGACUGCUACCUGCCUUGACAUUUAGGCCUGUUAUUUCCUCUCCUAUAAAGCUUAAAUGAUGGGGGUUUUUUUAUUUGUAACAAUAAAACACAGCAAAGGAGCCGCCUAAAAGGAAAAUGGCAACUGACCCAGUUUAUAUACAGAACAAAAAUAGUUUCAAGAGACCUAGGGCACCCUGCUAACUACGUAGAGAGGUAGUUACACACAAUACAUUUCUUUGUCUGUACUUCGCAGGUAGGGAAGAAGUGGUAAAAACCUAGAGGAAUACAGAAGGCAAUGUGCAUAGUAUUUGUAGGGAUAAGCAAAGGUAACAUUACAUAACCUCAAAUGUUUUGUGAAAAGUUGCUUCUUAGCUAUCUGGUCUCAUGACUAUACGGUAGUAUUGUGCCUGUUAGUGGGUUAUAGUCUGCGUUUCUGUGACUUUUAUUUGCAAUAAUAUUUUACUCACUUAUAUUAAGGAGGACCAACAACAACCACCCUCUCCCAGCAUAAGCAAGUAGGGAUUGACGCAUAUAAGGAAAAUGUGUGUUAUACCUCCUCAUCGAUCACUACAAGAUCAGAAUGCAGAUGUUUUUUAUCAUCUCCAGGAUCAUAGAAGUCCCAUGUCCUAGUAACCCAAACGCAUAGACGCUCGCUGCAAAUGUCAUGACAAGAAAAAUAGAGCAAAUGUGAGGAUCUAUUAAUCCUGCACUCAAUAUGAACCAAGCUCAGGGGAGGGUGAGUGCGUGCCCUUGGGGAAAUCGUCGAGCGGGAGGGCCGACUGUAGUAGACACGAGAUCUUGAGGAGGCACGUGUUUAGGGCAUGCACCUAGGGGUCCAUCUCAGUGGUGAAGUUCUUCAUGAAGUCUUAGAGCAUGAUAGUCAGGCGUCACUCGUCCUCAGCACACCGCGUCUUACGCUUCUGUCCCCCAGUCCCCCCUCGUCGCCGGAGUUGUUGGCUGCGGAGUCGUAGUGGGUGCGACGACGGAAUGAGUCUCCGGCGCCCGGGCCAAAGCCAUCGCUGUUGUGGUGGGGCUCGGAAGAGUUGCUGUGGGGCGGGUUGGAAGAGGGCUCAAGUGAGGGAGCGGGCUAGGGUUUCGGCGGAAGCUUGGUCCCGGCUGCGCUACGGAGAGGUGGCGGCGCGCUGAGUGAGCGACGGGGUGGGGGCGGCACGACCAAGCGAGCGGGGUGGGGGCGGCGCGGCCGAGCGAGCGAUGGUGUGGGGGCGCGAUGGCGGUGUGCAGUGCGGGUGGCGGCACGCGGUGUGGAGCUCGGUUGUGUGUGGCGGCUGUGUGUGUGGUGAAAUAAGGUUUUUUGGUAAAUAGACUUUGAGAUGGGUACUGGAUUGAGAUGUGAAAUAGAACGUGGAUAGGGUUUUUCUUAUCCUGUUCUCGGCGUACUAGAAUAGAACGUGGGGCAUCUGUAAGUAAAUAAGAAAAACAACUAGCACAAUAGAUAGCAAAACCAAGGGUAGUCUAGUUGGUUAUGUCAUUCAUGUUUGAGUCAAUAGAUUCAAGGUUCAAAACCUUAAAAAUCGUUUUUUACAAUUCGUUUUCUUUUCCAUAAUUCUUUUUUUCUUUUCUACAAUUCUUGUUUUCUUUACUACAAUUUAGCGAUCAAUGUUUACUUGUUUUAAUUAAUUUUUAGUCACUAACAUCUACAGGUACGUUCAGGCUAUAAGAUUUGAUAGUGAUCCUUGCUCUAUAGCGACCCACCGCUAGUCCCCGACGACAUCUAUAGCGACCAACCAUAAAUUGUUAAAUUUCUAGACUUUUAGUGACCAACCGACCGUUGCUACAAAAGGAUUUAGCGACUGACCGCCAGUCCCUAACCUUUAGCAACCAACAGUUGGUACCUAAUAAGGGUCGCUAAAGAUCAAUCGUCGUGUAGUGUUCUCCUAUUAUAUCAUAUAGAGGAAACCACAGCCCUGCCCUGAAGAAGCUUCUAAACACAACAACUUCAUCUUCCUUCAGCUCCGAAAUCACUUCUUCGCCAGCAAAGCGAAUAAGUUUACUUUCAUCCUCCCAAAAUAGCCUAGUUUUUUCAUCAUAACCAGGUCCUCUUCUGUUACGGUCGAUUUUCCGAAUUCAAUGUGACUAGGUUUUGAUGGGCUUAGAAUACUGUUGUUUUCUUUGAUUCCAUCAUCACUUCUGUCUUCAACUACUUCCUGCUCAGCUUCGGUAGUUCCACCUUCGGCAAUAGUUCCUUCCGACACAAUUAGAUCUGAUCGUCUCAUCACUUCCGAUAUUGGCACUAUUUCUGUCACUUCAGCCUCAUCUCCCUCACGGGACACCCUAGCAGUGGAUCUUACUUGGGCCAUUUCAAGUGUUUUGGUUCCUUAAGACGAAGAUAAUUUCGAAGAUAAUUUCGAAUGACGAAGAGCUUGUUUGGAAAGCGCAAUCCAAAAAGCUUCGGCUUUAGUUAAAAAUUUUAACAGCACAAUGGUGCGAUGACAAUGAAUGUUGUGGUAACUCCUCACCAACAUGUCUGCUUAUAUAGUGCUGCAGGGGAAGAAGGCGAACUGCCAGACCGUCUACACUGACUGAACGGUGGAUCGACCGACGCUCAGAAUAUUUUAAUUGUUUUUCGAUAACAAGCUUAUGGAAGGUGUUUUUCGGACCUUCGGCAUUCCGAAGCCUUUGUGUUUUUCGCUGAUCGAGCUCAUUACGAAAAAACAAUCUAGCAUCGCGAAGGGGCUACUAUUGGGGGUCUUCUUCUCUACCGAAGGUCCUCAAGACAAAAACGCCUUCAUCAAAAUAAUACAAAGGCCGCUAAAGCUAUCAUCAACCUCGGUUCAGCCUCUAAAGACGAAGAUCUUGCGUACAAGCAACGUUGCAGAAUAACUUCGGCUCGGACUAAGCAAAGAAGGAAAAGGCUAGAUAGACCUUAUUAGUUUUAUUUUCUUGUAAAUAAACGUUCAAGGGUAUGGAUGUAAUUUCACCCGGGCUGCGUCCCGUGCCUAUAAAUAGAUGAACAAUAACACCGUACUGUUCACGCGGAAUUGUAAUCACACUCUCGCGACUUCAUCUUCUAAGCAAAGCAAGCCGAAGGUAUCAAUGUAAUAUUAACAUUGUUAAUAUUUCCAUGUGUUUUGCAAAAUGCAAAUAUAUAUAUGAAUUGAUGAAAUGCAGCAAUUAUCUUCGUUCGUUUAUAUUUUUAUUUAUAUAUUGAUCUAAUGAAGGUAUGUCCUUCUUAACCUUCGUAUAAUGAGCAUUUCUCCCUUGCGGAGACAAUGUUUCGGAAGCAUUUCUUCCUUGUGGAGACAAUGCUUCGGAAGACGAAGGUCAAUUAUAAUUAAUAAUUGUGUUGUAUUGUUCUUAAUUUAUAGCAUUCAAGAACAAGUGACCAACAACCUAUAUUUAUAGGGGAGGUCUGGACCUGUUUCUAAGAGAUAGUCAAUAACUUCCACGCGAUUAGAUGGAUAACCACACACGAGAUAAGGAUAAUCACCGAGUUAAUCUAAUCGCGGGGCACGUGGACUGUCCGGGCCCAAGAAUUGGACCUUCCGCCACUUUUGGUGCUCAACAAUUUCCUAUUGUCAUUCCUACUUUGCAGAAGUUACUGGUGCAACAACCAACUACACGUCAAUGAAGUAACUACUAACACUGCAUCAUUAGAAUAUUUUCCAUUGCAGAAUAAUCCCUCCAGUCCGGUGUUCUUUUUGUUUGGUGUACCGACCGGCCAGGUAUCCCCAAUUCUACAUUCAGGACUGUUGAGAACGCGUGGUUUAUUGAGCGAAGGGAGGUAGCAGCGAGGGGCUAACAACACGGUAAAUCUACAACUCAUCCGAGUCUUAGAAUAUUCGUAUUUUUUCUCUCUCUCGCGCGCGCUAUCUCUCUUUCUCUAACAACCUAGAAGAAAUUUUUAAGACAUUGGGGACGAGAGAGACAGCGACAAGAUGGAGGCAGCGAUGGCGUCCUCGGAGCAGGCGGACAGGCCAGGUCAGGACGAGGAGGACGACCAUGCAUGCAUGAUGGCGAUGUGGGAAGGGGAAGACAAGGUCGCCGUGGGUACGGUACAAUGUAGAAUCAGCUCGCCGGAGCUCCUCGGUCGUGACCGCAGCCGUAGUGCUCCUCCGAUGAGACCCAACCGUGCCACGGCAGGGCGGUGAGCGGCAGCGGCGGCGGCGCAUCGGGAGGAAGAAAAUGCAUGAAGAAAAGAAUCUCUCCCAAAACACUAGGGUCAUCGGGUGUGUGAUAUGACAGAUUCUAAUAAUAUGAUCUGUAUCUAGAUCAUCUCUCGGUACAUCAAAUACAAGCUUUACUGGUCAAUUAUAGGACCGCAGUUCCUACCCUAUGUUAGGGUAUGUACAAUGAUUGUCUUAAAUUAUGGCUUAGAGUGUGUCUAGAGUGUGAAUAUAAAAAAACUCAAGACAUUUAUCUUGACGAAGAAACAGUGUCUUAGCUCUAUGUUCGAGAAAAGAGACUAACUGAUUGGUCACUUUAAUUUAUUGAAUGAUCUGAUUGGUACAAUGAAUAUGGUAAGACACAUGUUUUAGACAUGACCACUGUAUUAUGUUGUGUUUUAGUUGUGUCUUAUACUUGGGUUACCGUGCAGCAGUGUCUAGGUUGUACAUGCCCUUACAUGGUACUCAUGUUGACUUCUGUUUCGUUUCGGCAGCUGGUUCCAACAAGGCAGUAACAUUGUUUAUGCCCCUGCUAAAGAAACUAGCUUAAGGGCACAAGUACUCUUGGUCAAUGAACUGAUCAAUCAUGCCCGUGGCCAAUUACCGCUAGACUUAUUGUAUUAUUCUCUUGGAGCUAUGCAGAAAAUAGUGUGAGUAGAGCUGAUCUCAUAGGCCGGAAAUGCCGGACUAUCGCUACCGUCACCAAUUACCCGAACGAAAAAAAAAAGAGGCGAGUUUUCAACUGCCAGAGCCACUCCAGCGCGCUCUAAUCUCGCGUCAUGGGUAUGCUUAGUUGUAUCGUCAUUCACGCUGACAUGAACAGUCGCCAACGUUGCCGAAUGCUGAAUCAAGGGUCCAUAGCUAGAGAAGAAGAGGUCUCAUUACUAUCUAAUCUAAAAUUAAAGAAGAGAAGAGGUAUCAGCCAUGAGCCCAAGAACCCGGUUUAUGAAGUUCUUCAUACGUACUCCAUGUUUCUACACUUGUGCACCAAAAAAAAACCUAGUUUAACAAAGUUUUCGCUGACAAAAGUGACAAAGAUGGCCGGAUUUAAGUUUUCAAUGCCAUGUAUGUAUGCAUCCAUUUCUUUUUUUUUUGAAAGGAAGGGGCAAAAGACUUGCCUCUCCGGAAUAUAUUAUAUUAGAGAGAAAAGAAAUGGGUAAUACAAAACCAAAGCGACUGGAGGCAGAGGAAAAGAAAGACAAAUAAAGAUGAAAUAAAAAGAGCAAAAGAAGGACCCACUAGAGCAGACCAAAAGGCCACAGCUACAAGAAAAAUCCGAAGACUGCAAGGGCCACUUGAUUAACGCUUCUAUGCUGACUUUGGAAAAUUCUGUUAUUUCUUUCCAGCCAUAAAUUCCACCAAAAAUGAAUUAGCAGGCCGUCGAAGCGUCUUCUUGACUGACUGUUGCAAAAGUUACGAAGACCCGUCCACCAAUCAUAUAAAGAUGUAUCGCUGAGAAUCCCAUAUGAGGGAGGAAGGUUGGCCCAGGACAACACUUUGUUCCACACCUCUCUACUAAAGGGGCAGUCCUUGCAUAAGUGAAGAAUAGUUUCUGGGGCCGAGUUACAAAGACAGCAUAUUGGGUUGCAAGGCCAACCCCUUUUAAGAAGGUUAUCAGCCGUUAGAAUUUUGUUAUGAAGUAAUGUCCAGGCAAAAAAACGGCACCUCGGCUCCGUCUUAGCCUUCCAAAUGGGGCAGAGAUUCAUUGUACUGUAAUUAGAUGAGAAUUGGAUGUUGUAAGCACUGCUUGCACUGUACUGCCCAUCUGCCGACCAUCUCCAAGUAAUGGUGUCCUCCAAACCAUUGAGCUCUUGCAUGUUACCUAUGGCUUGCCAAAGAGAGACGAACUCUCUAAGCUCAACCUCCCCCGAGCAUGGGAAGCAUAAUCGUAUCCAAUUGUUGUUAGUGAGAGCUUUGUCAACCGUGAUGUUCUUCCUCUUUGUCUUCCUGAAGAGUGAAGGCGCAAUGCUCUUAGGGGCUUGACCUUGGAUCCAGCUAGAAUUCCAGAACUCAGCUGUCUUUCCAUUGCCAACCGUCACCAAUGUGGAUGCAUUGAAGAGAUCUUCAUCAGUCUUGUCACAAGGAAGCUUCAUGGCAUUCCACGCCCUGUCUUUGCUUUUCCAUCGUAACCAAAGCCAUCUCAGUCUUAACCCCCUCGCAAAACGAUCAAGGUCCAGAAUUCCAAGACCCCCCUUGCUCUUUGGGAGGCAAGUUGUGGCCCAGUUGAUAAGGCAGUGACCCCCAGAGCAAGCCUCAGGAUUAUUCCCUUUCCACAGGAAGUUUCGUCUCAUUUUGUCAAUUGAAUGCAGCAACCAUUUUUGAGGCGGAAAAAUCGUUAGGUGGUAGAUAGGCUGUGCGGAUAGCACCGAUUUUACUAAAGUUUCCCUACCAGCCUUGGACAGCAGUUUACCUUUCCAACCAGCCAAUCUGUUGUUAAUUUUUUCGAUAAGUGGUUGGAGAUCAGACCUUUUAACAUUCCUGUAAUGAAGGGGCAGCCCUAGAUAUUUUCCAGGGAGGCUAGAGUACUUUGCAGGGAACACGUCCAUUAGCGUUGGCCAUAAUGGUGCCGGAUAUCGGAUUGGGAAAAUUUCUGUUUUGUCAUAGUUGAUCUUUAGUCCUGAACACCCCUCGAACGCGUUGAGAAUCCCUUUCAGCACCCCCAAGUCUGAUUUGUCCGCUCUUACAAAAACACCCGCAUCAUCCGCGUAGAGAGAGCACCGAAGCUUAGCUCCUCUAGGCAAAACCUGUCCAAGCAGUCCAUCCUGAGCGGCCUUCUCAAUCAUCCGAUGCAGCGGGUCCAUCGCUAAAAUGAAUAGGAAGGGAGAAAGAGGGUCCCCUUGUCGAACCCCACGUCUGUGCUUGAUUGCCUUUGAACGUUGCCCAUUUAAAAUUAUUCUUGAGGAGGACGAUCCCAGGAUUUCAGCUACCCAAUUGCGCCAAUUCUGGGAGAACCCACAGGCCCUUAACACAUCUAAGAGAUAUGCCCAAUUCAGGGUGUCGAAGGCUUUAGAGAUGUCAAGCUUGACAAAAAGAGCUGCAUCACCUUUUUUAUGCAGCUCCCUAAUCACCCUCUGCACGUAUAGAAAGUUGUCAUGUAUUGAUCGGUUCUGGAUGAAGGCGUUCUGAGCGUUGGAUAUAAUUUCGUUCAUUCUUGGCGCAAGCCUAUUUGCCAUGAUUUUUGUUAUAAUUUUCAUGAAGCUAUUGAUCAGACUUAUCGGCCUAAACCUAUCAAUUCUGUCAGCAUUUUCCCCCUUGGGUAUGAGGAUGAUGUUUGCUUCGUUGAUCAGAUGCAGGCUUUUGGAUCUGUGAUAGAAAAAAUCAUUUAUUGCCAUGGAGAGGUCGUUCUUGAUCAACUCAAAGCAGCAUUUGUAGAACUGUCCAAUGAACCCAUCCGGCCCAGGAGCCUUUUCAGAUUGAAGCCUCAUGAUCACGUCCUUAAUUUCACUAUCAUCAAUCAAGUUGUCCAGCUCAGCAAGCUCAAAAGGAGCAUACCCCAGAUGGUCCCAGCAAACAGCACUGCUCCUCCUUCCUGUCAUGCCAAGAAUCUGACCGAAGUGGUGCUGAACCUCGUACAUCUUGGCUUCCUGGCUCGUUAACAGCGUGUCAUCUCUAAUUAGUGAUCUGAUUAAAUUUUUCCUUCUUCUAUUAUUGGCCGCCAAGUGAAAGAACUUAGUGUUAGCAUCGCCCAAUCGCAUCCAAGUAAGUCUGGAAUGUUGUCUUGCUCGUGACCUCUGAGCAGAGGCAAUAUCCAGAAUCUUGAUUUUGAGGAUCCUCCUGAAUUCCAAUUCUUCAGAGGAGAGUUGUCUACUUUCUUGUGCUUUCUCCAGAAGAGUGAGAAUGAUCUGAAUGAUAGCCAUCCGCACUUUGAAGUUGCCAACUGUAUUGCGUCUCCAGAUCGAAAGAGCCUUGGCCGUGCGAGUCAUCUUCACAUGAAGGCGAAGGAUUGCGUCAUCAGAGUUAACUGUAGAAUUCCAUGCUUGAUGGACUACCUCAUUGAACCCCUCAAUCUGUGGCCAGAACGAUUCGAAUCUGAACCCCCGGUAGAAUUUGACCGUAGAGUGGCCUUGUAUUAACAGUGGGCAGUGGUCCGACGUCAUGGUGCACAUGGAGAGUAGAUCAGCUGCGGGGUACAGAUCAUGCCAUUCAGUUGUCGCGAAGAAUCUGUCAAUCCUAGUCAUGGUAGGGUUAGCUUGUUCAUUUGACCAGGUAAAUGCUCUAUCGGUGAGAUCUAGCUCUAAGAGGUGUAGAUCAUCAAUUGUGCUAUUGAACUGCCUCAUCACCCUUCUGUUGAUUGACCCUUUGUUUUUUUCUUUUGCUCUCCUAAUCAUGUUGAAGUCACCUAAAAUUACCCAUUCUGGCCUCACCAUGGUUUGAAUAUUUCUGAGCUCAGAGAGGAAUAUCAUUUUUUCAUUAUCCGGUUGGGGGCCGUAAACACCCGUGAGAUCCCAAACUUCAUCCACCAAUCUGGAAAAAAUCCGGACAGACAGCGAAUAGGCUGCAGAGCCUGGUAAGAGGGUCAAGUCAAAGUAGUCCGAAUCGGCAGCGAUUAGGAUGCCACCCGAAGCGCCCUGAGAAGGUACAUGAAAAGUUUGAUUUGCAAGCUUGGCACCAACAGUUUCCUUUAAUAAUAUAUUUGACCAGCUCGAGAUCUUUGUCUCUUGAAGGCAAACAAUGGAUGCGCCAGUGGAUAGAAUUGUAUGCCUUACGCUUGCUCUCUUAGCAUGGUCAUUUAACCCCCGCACGUUCCAGGAGAAAAUAGUGCAAUUCGGAUUCAUAAAGCAAUAGAAACCACUCUAGAUGAGACAGAACGCAGCCGCCAAUCAAAUCCCAGCCAGGGACCCUGCUGCAGCAGACCAACUGUGGAUAAUAAUAUCGAACAAGGAUUCGCCGAAUUAGAACAAAGCCCAGAACCAAAGGACAAUCUGGGAGCACAGGGAUACAGAGGCACGCUAUAGCACUGCCCAAACACACUAAAACUAGCAGGAAUUAAAAUGAGAAACAAGGGUGGGGUGGACCCGGAACCGCGCCAAAAGCGCCUAUCCAUCUGAGGAACCAUUGAUCAGCAAAAGAACCACCAACAAACCCAGUCGCAGCAGCUCAGAACCCCUUAGCCUUCCCGGCUUCGGCGGUUGGCAUCACCUUUCGACCCUUCUUUUUAGUCUUCCCUGCCUUCACGUUGUCUUGAUUUAUCAGCUCCAUGAUUGCCUCCAUUUGGCACUUGGUAAGAGGCCUUGUGAAUAGACUUGCGAUCUGCUCAAAUGACUUAUUAAAAUCAGUACAGUCUGAAGAACUAGAGCAGUCUGGAAUUUUAACUGCAGAAUUGUUAAGUUUGGCGCGAAUGAUUUCCUGGGCUUUGGAUAUUGCAUCUCGGUUAGUACCAGUGCUAAAGUUUUUUUUCGCAGCCAGCCUAACACUUGAUCUUCUAGUGAUGUGUUGCUUCUGAAAUUUUAAUGUAUGUGAUGAAUUGGUCGUGCUACUUUUCGGGAAAGCAGGGAUCAGUGGUGGUUCUGGUGGCGUUGUUAUUGCCGCGAUGAAGUUGGUCAACUGGGCAUUAUCGGGUAAGCUGUUCCCUGUCCUCAGAGCAGGAGUAGUACUCAAGGCUUCCUGAUUAAUGUUGUCAACAGGUUGACACAUUGGCUGGAUAUCGCUAACGCCCGGCUGAAAAUCUGGGCAGGAUAAAUUGUGGAUAGCUGGGGCACUCAUUUGGCCGAUCCGUUCAGCAGCUGGCAGGUUGAGGUGUACAGUUUGAUUAGCGUUCAGGAGUUGGGAGCCAAGCAGCUCAACCGGUUGGGCAGCUAAGGACUUGGCUGGACUAGAAAUAUCCAGGUUUAGAACAUUGUCUAAACCGUCGAGGACAGUAGCUGGCAAGAUGUGAUCUACAGCUUUAUUGUCGUUUGCCAGGUGGGUGCCUAAAAACUCAGUCGGUUGGAUAGCAGGGGCCUUGGCUGGAACAACAUUGUUCAGGGCCAGAACACUGUCUAAACUAUUUAGAAUCGAGGCGAAAACAUUAUUAAGAUCCACAGUAUUAGUUACCUUGCACUUGGAGGCAUCAGGUUCCUUGGAGGUUUCCUGGUUGGCACCGUCAACAGACCCUGGCGAGGCACCCACACCAGCAGCAAGCUCCAGGUCGCCUACCUGCGGCCAGACAGCAGAAACAGCAGGGUCUGCAAAAGAAACGGUGCUGCCCUUUCUCUUGGGCACCCAGCAGCGAGUUGGCGUGGCACCCACACCAGCAGCAAGCUCCCGGACGCCAACCAGUGGCCAGACAGCAGAAACAACAGGGUCUGCAAAUGAAACGGUCUUGCCCUUUCUCCUGGGCACCCAGCAGCGAGUUGAUGAUGCCAUCCCCAGACAAUGGCGACGGAACGGGGUUGAAUGCCUAUGCUUGUCGUUGGAGCUAUAGCAGUCCUCCAUCCCACCCCGGCAUCGCGAUGAACGCGCCCAACCGGAAAGACUUCGGUGCCUACGGUUUCCACUGCGUCUGCCACGCUGAAAGUUCCCCUCAUCAUCAUCGUCAUCCUGGCCCCAGCCACGACGCCCAGUCUCUCUACCUCUGAAAGUUUCUGCAUGUUCUCUUUUUUCGCCCAUAGAGUCUGGGGCGCCAUAGCUCCAGACAAAUUCUCUUCGCUGCUUGCGAUUAGGGGGGCCCCCCCUGGAUCCCCUCCCACGGAGGAAGGAGAGGUCUUCCACCACCUCGAUGUGAUUGCGAAGAGUGUAUACAUGACCAGUUUUCAGAUCGGAAGGUUCAUCAUGAAGAGCACCAGCAAGCGGCAAAGGAGCGCUAACUGGUGGAAGCUCCCUGUCCGGUUCUAAAACCGUAAGCUGGACCUCUUUGGGUAUGUCACAAGGGUCAGAGCACCAUGCCCAAAGAUCGAAGGACCUAGUGCGCUCUCUACGCCUUGUGCCCUCCUGCACAUAGUGAAUUGCACAGCUCUUGCCUAAGGCCUUCGAAGCCACUUCUUCCCCCCAACAGUGAACCGGAAUACCUUCAACCCGGACUUUAACUCUAAACUCCAGGUUCGUUUUCCUAGCAUUGCUGUCCUCUGACCAAUCUCCAAAAUGGAAAGUCCUAUCACGAUAUGAGACCGAACCCCUAUCAAGCGCCCACAGCUUCGACCUUGGAUCCGAGAAUAUGAUAAAAAACUGCUCAGGAAAGUGCUUGACUAGCUGAUACUGACCGUGGCGAAGGUUGAACUUCUCCCUUAGCAUAUCACCUGCAGCUAAAGUGUCAACCUCAUGGCUAUUGCCGUCGAAGGAGCAAACCACAGCCUUGUCAAUCAGCUCGUCCCUGCGGCGACGGAAGGAGCCGGUCGCCGAGACCGAGCAGAAGGCACGCGAAGGUCUUCCCCGGGGGUCUCCAGGGUAGCGAGCCUCCAUUCCUCGGUCUCCCUGCACAACCUGGAGGUAGGAUUUCUUGUGUAUGGGGGGCGGUUGACUGAGUGGCGCCUUACUGCGUUGCUCAAGGUUCCUACCGCAAUGCUCAAGGUUCUUAUGUAGAUCGUCAGUCCAUAGUCGUGCCUCAUGGUAGGUAGGGGUCCUUGAUGGUUGUUCGACUGGCUUAGGAAAAAACCCAGCAGCAGUGAAUGUCCCCUGAGAGCUUUUCCGGUUGCAGUAUCUCGCUCGAUGUCCGGAUUGAAGGCAAAGCCAGCAGCGCGAAGGAGCCUGGCAGCAAAAAGCUAGAUGAUCUGGUGAGAAGCAAUUGUAACAUUUGCCCUUUAGCUUCAAUUUGAAAAGACCAGUGCCCUUCACGUCGAAUUGAUGAUAUUGCCGUGUUCGCUCAGUAGACGUCCAGCUCUUGCGCCACCAGUACCGCGGUCUGACCACCGACCAGUCCCCUUCAAUGCCAUCCGACGCAGCAGGGUAUGGCCUCUGUCCAUUCAAACGCGGCGCGGCAUCGAGACCAGCAGCACGCCGAUGUGACCAAACGUUGCCCGAAUUCAAAUCCCCUUCCGGCUUGCAGGAGAGCUGGAAAUCCGGAGUGCGAUCUGCACCCACCUCGGCCUUUCCAGACGCCAGGAUACGCGGCAUUGAAGUCUGCCGAAGAGGAUCACCAAGAGCUGCCUGCACUGGACGCGGAUCUGCUUUGGAUUUUGAUCUUGUAUCCACCCGGGUCGUCGCAUAGGAGCCAUCGCCAGCUGCGGCGGACCAUUGAAGCUUUGAUUGAUGAAAUGGGACGCCCUUGUCUUGGGAAUCAUGAGCUUGCUUGCAGGAAUCAUCUCUGAUAAGAGCCUGAGAAAUAGGGAGCUCCUUCGCCGAACUUACCGGGUCGCUGAGUGGGGAGUCCGUCGCGCGCAGGGCCGCUCCGCGCCCGCCGAGAAGGGAGGGGCGAGCCCAACCCGCGGCGGACGGAGGAUCUCCCGGCGACUGGAAAGGAGGACCAAGGGAAGCGGCGGCGCCCUUCCCCAUCCCGCGCUCAACCCUAAACCUCGAACUGAUCUUUACCAAAACGCUCUAUAAGCAUGAAGCCAAAUUCAGGCCAGGACACAUGGGUGAGGCUCUGCUGAACCUGAAUGUAACCAUCGUCGUAUGCAUCCAUUUCAUUCCGCACUUGAUUAAGUUUGCGUCCUAGUCAUUAAUUACUUUGUGUUUGAAUAUUGAUUUUGUUCAAGCGAAUUCCCAACUGCUUGCUGUCAUCGUCGAUCAGCAUACAGUGGACCGUGGUCCUUUUACGUACCUCAAGCAAACUAACGAGUAAUGCGUAUGAAUGCCUUAUUCAAAUUAACGCGGCUGCCACUGAGAAGUUCCACACGUACACCACCAUCUUCCUAUCAUUGAUACUAGGCAGAGGUGUGUGUUUAGUCGUCAUUUUAGUUGAAACAUCUUUGGCUUCGAGGUAUUUAUUGAGCAGAGGCCCUCUCCCUAUACACAUCAAGCAAGAGUAAAGGUUACUGAGGUCCUGGUCCAAACCUCAAGAACUAAUUGCUAGUCGGCUAAUAAAUUGUUAGCUAGUUUUAGCGAGGUUGGAGCAGCUAAUAACUAACCGCUAUUUGAGAGGUAUAGUUAACACUUAGUUUGUCAAUUAGCUGACCCGUUGUAAAUCUCUAUGCUGAUUUUAGCUGUUAACUAACAGUUUUAGAGGUCUAGAAUAGGGUUACCAUAACCAAGCGAACAAAUAAAGAAUUUUUUUCUUAGUUUUGCCAAGUAUAUAUGCUUCCAGGGAAGUUGUGGUCAGGACCACGUACAUAUAUAGUAGUAAACUGGAGGACGUACGCGUGUGUCCGGUCCCCCAAUUUUCUGGUAUAACUAGCUAAAUGAUAUUUGUUAGGUGAACUCAGAAUAAAUUAAAAUAAACCUAUGCAUUGGAGCUGACAAUUCCACGAACAAGAAACAGCCUGUAGACGCACCCGGUUUGAUGAGGCAACCUUAUGUAUUGUAUACACUUCUUGUCACUAAUUAAUUGAAUCUAUGUAACCACAUCUGAAUUGAAUCCAAAACACUUGGGUUUUUUUUCCUCUUCAGCCAUCUUCCUCCGACGAGAUCCUACCGCGGCCGCAGUGACCUUCAUCUUCCUUUUCCCCCGCUGCCGACAUGGCCAUGGUCGCCCCAGGCCCCAGCCCUAAACCUGGUUCAGCCGCCUCCACCGCCUCACAGCUAUCUACCCCGUCCCCACACCGUUUGGUCCGUCUGCCUAAAUAAAAUUUCUCCGUGUGGAUAUUCAGACGUGCAAAACAAUGGUUUACAAUGAAGACUACAUUAUUUACAUAGUAGAGUUUAAAAUAAAGAUUAAGAUAAGAGAUGAGAUAGAUAAAGGAUUGUAGAUAGUCUAAUGCCAUCUCUAGCAAAUCUACUAUCUUUUCUUUUAUGUCGUCGUCUAUUUUAAAUUUCACUCUACAAAAAGUGAUGUUGGGGCCUUCGUCUUCCGAAGGUCUUCAAAAACAUGAUUUAACAAUAUUUCUGAGUAUGAUACACAAACAGGUACCUUCGGACUCUAUCAGAACCACAAUCUAAAGAAGGACAAAGAAUACGAAGGUUAGCGUAGAGCCGAAACUGUGCGCAGGGGAGCUUCGGCAUGGUAGCAGAAACGGGAACCGACUUAAAAAGGAAAAGGCUAUUUAGACCUUGAUGGAUUACUAUAGAGUCAUUAGCAAAUGUAAAGGGCAUGAGUGUAAUUGUACAUGGGCUGCGUCCCGUGCCUAUAAAUAGAUGAACAGUGCUCCCGUACUGUUCACGCGGACUUGACAUUUUGCUUUUGCAUCACACUUGUACCCUUACCUUAUUUUGAUCCGAAGGUACAUUUAUAAUUUGAUAUCAUUUCUAUUUUCCAUAGUAAUAAAAUAGAAAUGAGUUGAUAUAUAAUUAUUCAUGUUAUCUUUUACAUUUCAUAUGAUUCUUUCUUCAUUAUUAUAUGUUACAUCGAUGAAGGUAUGUCCUUCAUAACCUUCGUCCGAAGAUCAUUAUAUCCUAAAGGAAAUAAUGCCUCGAAGGACGAAGGGCUUUAACGUUUAACAUUUUUCGUGUUGCCUUGUUCUUAACUCAUAGCAUUUGGGAACAAGUCCCCAACAUUGGCGUUCACCUCCGGUGAAUCCUUUUCGACCACCUUCGGCAAGCAUUGACCUUCAUCAUGCCACCGAAGAAAGCUUCAGCGACAGGGACUGCCGCUCUGCAGCCACUGGACCCGAACCAGGAAACCCUUUCUCUUCGAGAGGCCCGAAGCCAGAAGAGGAAGGCUACUAGUCCAACACCCCAGGAGGACGAGUUGGACCAAGAGAUCAGAAACAUGGAGAUGCUUCAUCAACAAGUACAAAGGAAGAAGGAGAAGAUGGCUCGACUAGCCGACCUUCAAAGGCAGAUUGACGAAGCUACCGAAGAAGUACGCCAUCUUGCUCAAGAUGAACAAGAACGAAGGCCCCAGCACAGGGAGCUUUCAUCAAGAAGGCUUGUUCGAUGAUGAUGGAUGGUAUGAUGAUUUUAAUCAUAGUACCUUUACUUUUGACGAUGCUUCUCCCCUGGCAGCAGAACUGCAGGCUAUCCCAUGGUCCCCAUCGUAUAAGCCACCUCAGCUUCCGAUGUAUGAUGGGCAUUCAGACCCGAAGCAGUUUUUGAUGAGUUAUGAAGCAACUAUAUCUUCAUACGGAGGCAAUACAACUGUCAUGGCCAAGUCCUUCGUUAUGGCAGUGAAGAAUGUGGCUCAAACGUGGUAUUCUUCUCUUCGGCCAGGGACUAUCACUUCAUGGCAGAAGCUCAAGGACAUGCUGGUGACAAGUUUCCAGGGCUUUCAGACGAAGCCAUUCAUAGCUCAGGCUCUGUUCCAAUGCACGCAGGAUCAUGAGGAGUAUCUCCAGACAUACGUCCGAAGAUUCUUGCAUUUGAGAGCACAAGCGCCUAUUGUGUCCAAUGAAAUUGUCAUUGAGGCCAUGAUCAAGGGGCUUCGUCCAGGACCUACUGCCCAGUAUUUUGCUAGAAAGCCUCCACAGACUUUGGAGAAUACAUCCGCGCUGAUAACGAUUUUCGUCAAAGAAGGGAGGAAGCCUAUAGGUUCUCUGAGAUGACCAGGGGCUUCGGAGGGAGAAUCCACCCAAGACAUGUCAGGUCAAUCCACUCCACCUAGAGUGGCGACAGGGGAAGUCAACAACAAAGGCCACAAUAUUCCUCGCAAGCUUCGGGGCAGCAACAAAGCUAUCUUCGGCCGCCAGCUCCAAGGGGCAGAGGCGCCAGGGGCUUUGGAGGAAGGUUUGGCGAUCAACCCAGGAAGAAUUAUUGCUUAUUCUGUGGUGAGGACAAGGGCCAUACUACAAGGAUGUGCUAUGUCACCAUUCAGAAACAGAAGGAAAUAGCAGAAGCUGCAGCUCAGCAGAACCAGCCGAAGCAGGUCAUGCAUACUGCUUCAUAUCACUCACCCUACAUACCAGAGUAUGUGGGUAACCAUCCUGCAAUGUCUGUUGCUUCGGCUAGUCAGCCACAGGCAUCCUGGCCAUAGCCUCCACCUCCGCCACCACUACAACCUGCAUAUUCACGCGGCCAACAGCCAGAAGGGAGUCAACAGACCCAUCAGCAGAGAGACUUUAGGGAGGAGUCCGAAGCUCGCACAGUCAACAGUACUGUGCCAGAGUCGAAGCAUAUCUACUAAGAGAUAUCAUACCUCUGAAUCAGUUUUUACAUUCAUUGUCAUUCUCUUUCUUACUAAGGAACAAUUAUUGAAAACCUAGUUUUCUUGUCGUUUUCAAUUCCUUGUAAUAGCUUCGUUUUUGCCAUAGUGGAAAUAUAUCUUCUCCACAGACUCACGGAGUCCAAAAAGUCGCCGAAGCACAAAACGUCGUUCUAAGGAACGCAGCGUAAGUUGUCGAAGCUACAAAAAGUCGUUCCUAAGGGAGCGCAGUGUAAGUUUUCUGCUCAAAAGUCGUUCCAAAGGGAAUGCAGAGCAAAAUACCGUCGAAAUAUAAGGCGAAGCGCGAAAAGUCAACGCGAAUAUCGUCGAAAUAGAAGGCGAAGAAGUUCAAAAGACGUUCCUAAGGGAAUGCAGAACUUACAGCGAAAAGUCAGCUCUGAUACACCGAAAAAUAAACGGUGAAGCCAAAAAAUAAACGACAAAGAGAUUGUGUAUUCCAAUAUAGGGAUAUGAGUGUGUGUCUUCAGCACAAAGUAUCAUUUUUGCAUAGCAUAAUAUCAUCACAUCAUUUCGCAUAACAUAACAUCAUACAUCAUAUUGCAUCAAUGGCACAAGAAGGGGAUAUAAUGUUGACCUUCGGAGAAUGCUUCGAAAAAGUGAAAUUGUGCUAAGGCACAAAAUAAGUUCUGAAGAGAUAUAGCUUUAUCAGUGUUAUAGCUUUAUCAGUGUUAUCAGCGCUGAUAUAAAAUAAGUGGAGGAAAAAGUCUAUUAUUGACGAAGCAUCAGUGUUAUGGCGACGCUUGGAGCAUUUUUUAUUAAGCACUCUGAUAUCGAGGAAGAAAGUCUAUUACUGACUGUCGGGGACCAUAAUUAGGGGUACCCUCAAGACUCCUAAUUCUCAGCUGGUAACCCCCAUCAGCAUAAAGCUGCAAAGACCUGAUGGGUGCGAUUAAGUCAGGGAUCAGUCCAUUCGAGCGACUCGAUCACGCCUCGCCCGAGCCUAGCCUCGGGCAAGGGCAGCCGACCCCGAGGGAUUUCCGUCUCGCCCGAGGCCCCCUUUCAACGGCGGACACAUCUUCGGCUCGCCCGAGGCCCUGCCUUCGCUAAGAAGCAACCCUGACUAAAUCGCCGCACCGACCGACCAAAUCGCAGGAGCAUUUAACGCAAAGGUGGCCUGACACCUUUAUCCUGACACGCGCCCUCCGGCAGAGCCGAAGUGACCGCUGUCACUUCGCCGCUCCAAUGACUGGUCUGACAGAAGGACAGCGCCGCCUGCGCCACUCCGACUGCAGCGCCACUUGACAGAGUGAUGCUGACAGGGAGCCAGGUCCUGCCAAAGGCACCAUAGGAAGCUCCGCCCGACCUAGGGCUCGAACUCGGGCUCCGCCCCGGAAGACGGCGAACUCCGCUCCGCCCGACCCAGGGCUCGGACUCGGGCUCCGCCCCGCAAGACGGCGAACUCCGCUCCGCCCGACCCAGGGCUCGGACUCGGGCUAAGACCCGGAAGACGGCGAACUCCGCUCCGCCCGACCCAGGGCUCGGACUCGGGCUAAGACCCGGAAGCCGGCGAACUCCGCUCCGCCCGACCCAGGGCUCGGACUCGGGCUAAGACCCGGAAGACGGCGAACUCCGCUCCGCCCGACCCAGGGCUCGGACUCGGGCUCAGCCCCAGAAGACGACGAACUCCGCUUCACCCGACCCCAGGGCUCGGACACCGCCCUGGCCUCUGCCGACGACCUCCGCCUCGCCCGACCCAAGGGCACGGACUCGGCCUCGGCCAUGAAGGACAGACUCGACCUCGGCUUCGGAGGAGCCUCCACGUCGCCCGACCUAGGGCACAGGCCCGCCACGUCAACAGGAAGCGCCAUCAUCACCCUACCCCGAGCCGACUCGGGCCGCAGAGAACAAGACCGGUGUCCCAUCUGGCUAGCUCCGCCAGAUAGGCAAUGAUGGCGCCCCGCUAGCCCUGUGACGACGGCGGCUCUCAGCUCCCUUACGGAAGCAGGGGGACGUCAGCAAGGACCCAACCGCUCCGACAGCUGUCCCUCCGCCAGGCUCCGUUGCUCCUCCGACAGCCACGACAUCACACCAGCAGGGUGCCAAGAUCUCUCCGGCUGCCACAUUGGCAUGUACCUAGGGCGCUAGCUCUUCCCCCGCUAGACACGUAGCACUCUGCUACACCCCCAUUGUACACCUGGAUCCUCUCCUUACGCCUAUAAAAGGAAGGACCAGGGCCUUCUUAGAGAAGGUUGGCCGCGCGGGACGAGGAUGGGACAGGCGCUCUCUUGGGGCCGCUCGCUUCCCUCACCCGCGUGGACGCUUGUAAUCCCCUACUGCAAGCGCACCCGACCUGGGCGCGGG
This 30076-nucleotide long non-coding RNA is filed under the name Zea mays. Its description in RNAcentral is "long non-coding RNA (ZMAY_LNC001509)". The record is from RNAcentral. Lineage: Eukaryota; Viridiplantae; Streptophyta; Magnoliopsida; Poales; Poaceae.